UAAAAAUUAUUUAAAGAAGAAACUUCAUUUGCAAAAUGAAAAAAAAUCUCUUUUGU
This 56-nucleotide transfer RNA is filed under the name Romanomermis culicivorax. RNAcentral describes it as "tRNA-Cys". Lineage: Eukaryota; Metazoa; Nematoda; Enoplea; Mermithida; Mermithidae. The record is from RNAcentral.